UACGUAGGGUGCAAGCGUUGUCCGGAUUUAUUGGGCGUAAAGAGCUCGUAGGCGGCUUUGUAAGUCGGGUGUGAAAACCACAGGCUUAACCUGUGGACGCCACUCGAUACUGCAAUAGCUAGAGUUUGGUAGGGGAUCACGGAAUUCCUGGUGUAGCGGUGAAAUGCGCAGAUAUCAGGAGGAACACCGGUGGCGAAGGCGGUGAUCUGGGCCAAUACUGACGCUGAGGAGCGAAAGCGUGGGGAGCGAAUGGG
RNAcentral lists this ribosomal RNA (254 nucleotides) under uncultured bacterium. RNAcentral describes it as "partial 16S ribosomal RNA". It matches the Rfam family "Bacterial small subunit ribosomal RNA", at positions 524 to 776 of the family's 1533-position model. The record is from RNAcentral.